UACCCCAGGAUAUCAAAUGUCAAUAAGUGGUUGUACCUUCUUGAUGCAACCAAAUUACUGUAACCAGUCAAGAACGAUCAAUGCCAGGAAAGCAUCCGCAUCUCUACAAUGAUGGAGGACCUCUAGACUUAUACUUAAUGAGGAGAUUUCAGUUUAGGUCUCUUAUAAAUCAGCAGAUCUGACAUCCGAUUGAUUAAAUUAGGUUAGCACAUCAAUAUAUCUAACCAUCC
Molecule: long non-coding RNA, 230 nt
Filed under: Elaeis guineensis (African oil palm)
Lineage: Eukaryota; Viridiplantae; Streptophyta; Magnoliopsida; Arecales; Arecaceae
Description: long non-coding RNA (EGUI_LNC059433)
Source: RNAcentral